This 69-nucleotide transfer RNA is filed under the name Astyanax altiparanae. RNAcentral's name for it is "tRNA-Pro". It matches the Rfam family "tRNA". From Rfam's summary of the family: Transfer RNA (tRNA) molecules are approximately 80 nucleotides in length. The record is from RNAcentral. RNAcentral also lists the same sequence under 1 other name. Lineage: Eukaryota; Metazoa; Chordata; Actinopteri; Characiformes; Acestrorhamphidae.
CAGAAGAUAGUUUAGUUAGAAUACUAGCUUUGGGAGUUAGUGGGGGAAGUUAGAGUCUUCCUUUUCUGG